ACACACUGUACUCACAUCCUGACCCCCUCAAUACACACUGUACUCACAUCCUGACCCCUCAAUACACACUGUACUCACAUCCUGACCCCUCAACACACUGUACUCACAUCCUGACCCCCUCAACACACUGUACUCACAUCCUGACCCCUCAACACACUGUACUCACAUCCUGACCCCUCAACACACUGUACUCACAUCCUGACCCCUCAAUAUACUGUACUCACAUCCUGACCCCCUCAACACACUGUACUCACAUCCUGACCCCUCAACACACUUAGACCUCACAUCCUGACCCCUCAACACACCAGGAACAGUAGACCUCACAUCCUGACCCCUCAAUACACCAGGAACAGUAGACCUCACAUCCUGACCCCCUCAACACACCAGGAACAGUAGACCUCACAUCCUGACCCCCUCAACACACCAGGAACAGUAGACCUCACA
This 444-nucleotide long non-coding RNA is filed under the name Salmo salar (Atlantic salmon). Its description in RNAcentral is "lncRNA (ENSSSAG00000099825.1, ENSSSAG00000114753.1)". The record is from RNAcentral. Lineage: Eukaryota; Metazoa; Chordata; Actinopteri; Salmoniformes; Salmonidae.